ACGGAGGGUGCAAGCAUUGAUCGGAAUUACUGGGCGUAAAGGGCGCGUAGGCGGCAAUGUAAGUCAGAUGUGAAAUUCCGGGGCUCAACCCCGGAGCUGCAUUUGAAACUACAUAGCUAGAGUACAGUUAGGGUAAACGGAAUUCCACGUGUAGCGGUGAAAUGCGUAGAUAUGUGGAAGAACACCGGUGGUGAAGACGGUUUACUGGGCUGAAACUGACGCUGAGGCGCGAAAGCAUGGGUAGCAAACAGG
Molecule: ribosomal RNA, 252 nt
Filed under: uncultured bacterium
Lineage: Bacteria
Description: partial 16S ribosomal RNA
Rfam family: Bacterial small subunit ribosomal RNA
Source: RNAcentral